UACGGGGGGGCAAGCGUUGUUCGGAAUCAUUGGGCGUAAAGAGCGUGUAGGCGGUCCGGUAAGUCCGCUGUGAAAGUCGGGGGCUCAACCCUCGGAUGCCGGUGGAUACUGUCGGGCUUGAGUACGGAAGAGGCGAGUGGAAUUCCUGGUGUAGCGGUGAAAUGCGCAGAUAUCAGGAGGAACACCAAUUGCGAAGGCAGCUCGCUGGGACGUUACUGACGCUGAGACGCGAAAGCGUGGGGAGCAAACAGG
RNAcentral lists this ribosomal RNA (252 nucleotides) under uncultured bacterium. Its description in RNAcentral is "partial 16S ribosomal RNA". It matches the Rfam family "Bacterial small subunit ribosomal RNA", at positions 524 to 776 of the family's 1533-position model. The record is from RNAcentral.